This 324-nucleotide unclassified non-coding RNA is filed under the name Hevea brasiliensis (rubber tree). The record is from RNAcentral. Lineage: Eukaryota; Viridiplantae; Streptophyta; Magnoliopsida; Malpighiales; Euphorbiaceae.
AAGUCCACUUUGGACCGAUAGUCCUCUCCAAAACUCCUGCUCAAAAAUUUAGAAUUAAUGUAGCCAAAACUGCUGAUUUUGGUUAGAAGUGAAUGAAUCUGAUGGACUAAUUCUGGAUGUAAUGGUUUUGUAUAAAAUUUGGUUUUGUAAAAACUCAAUGAAUGAUUGAGCUACCAUGAUAUGAUCCUCAUGAUAUUUAAUUCUGCUAAGGAGGUCAGCCACAUAUUUAUUAGCUUCCUCAAACUCAAUACAAAGUGCAUUGAGAGCUGUUACUCCCAAUCGUUUGUUUUAUAUUAAAGUCCAAAGAUUGUCUAAUAAACAUUG